This 26-nucleotide non-coding RNA is filed under the name Homo sapiens (human). The record is from RNAcentral. Lineage: Eukaryota; Metazoa; Chordata; Mammalia; Primates; Hominidae.
UCAGCGUCAGGAACGCAGAACUGGGA